CGCCCGGUUGGGCCGGGGUGAUCUGGGCCGGGUCGUUGACGCCGACCACGGUCACUUCGACGGUGGCGGUGGACGUC
This 77-nucleotide transfer RNA is filed under the name Achromobacter pulmonis. RNAcentral describes it as "tRNA-Val". The record is from RNAcentral. Lineage: Bacteria; Pseudomonadati; Pseudomonadota; Betaproteobacteria; Burkholderiales; Alcaligenaceae.